AGUGAACGCUGGCGGUAGGCCUAACACAUGCAAGUCGAACGGCAGCACAGGAGAGCUUGCUCUCUAGGUGGCGAGUGGCGGACGGGUGAGGAAUACAUCGGAAUCUGCCCAGUCGUGGGGGAUAACGUAGGGAAACUUACGCUAAUACCGCAUACGACCUUCGGGUGAAAGAGGGGGAUCGCAAGACCUCUCGCGAUUGGAUGAGCCGAUGUCGGAUUAGCUAGUUAGCGGGGUAAUGGCCCACCAAGGCGACGAUCCGUAGCUGGUCUGAGAGGAUGAUCAGCCACACUGGAACUGAGACACGGUCCAGACUCCUACGGGAGGCAGCAGUGGGGAAUAUUGGACAAUGGGCGCAAUCCUGAUCCAGCCAUACCGCGUGGGUGAAGAAGGCCUUCGGGUUGUAAAGCCCUUUUGUUGGGAAAGAAAUCUUUCAGGCUAAUACCCUGGGAGGAUGACGGUACCCAAAGAAUAAGCACCGGCUAACUUCGUG
This 490-nucleotide ribosomal RNA is filed under the name uncultured bacterium. Its description in RNAcentral is "partial 16S ribosomal RNA". It matches the Rfam family "Bacterial small subunit ribosomal RNA", at positions 29 to 507 of the family's 1533-position model. The record is from RNAcentral.